Molecule: ribosomal RNA, 484 nt
Filed under: uncultured bacterium
Lineage: Bacteria
Description: partial 16S ribosomal RNA
Rfam family: Bacterial small subunit ribosomal RNA
Source: RNAcentral
AUUGAACGCUGGCGGCAGGCCUAACACAUGCAAGUCGAGCGGAUGAAGGGAGCUUGCGCCUGGAUUCAGCGGCGGACGGGUGAGUAAUGCCUAGGAAUCUGCCUGGCAGUGGGGGAUAACGUCCGGAAACGGGCGCUAAUACCGCAUACGUCCUGAGGGAGAAAGUGGGGGAUCUUCGGACCUCACGCUAUCAGAUGAGCCUAGGUCGGAUUAGCUAGUUGGUGGGGUAAAGGCCUACCAAGGCGACGAUCCGUAACUGGUCUGAGAGGAUGAUCAGUCACACUGGAACUGAGACACGGUCCAGACUCCUACGGGAGGCAGCAGUGGGGAAUAUUCGGCAAUGGGCGAAAGCCUGAUCCAGCCAUGCCGCGUGUGUGAAGAAGGUCUUCGGAUUGUAAAGCACUUUAAGUUGGGAGGAAGGGCAGUAAGUUAAUACCUUGCUGUUUUGACGUUACCAACAGAAUAAGCACCGGCUAACUUCGUG